RNAcentral lists this ribosomal RNA (372 nucleotides) under uncultured organism. RNAcentral describes it as "bacterial SSU rRNA". It matches the Rfam family "Bacterial small subunit ribosomal RNA", at positions 526 to 896 of the family's 1533-position model. The record is from RNAcentral.
CGAAGGUCCCUAGCGUUGUUCGGAAUUAUUGGGCGUAAAGCGCUUGUAGGUGGCUUUGAAAGUUAGGUGUGAAAGCCCCGGGCUCAACCCGGGAAGUGCACUUAAAACUCCUUAGCUUGAGUACGGUAGAGGUGAGUGGAAUACCUGGUGUAGUGGUGAAAUACGUAGAUAUCAGGUGGAACAUCAGUGGCGAAGGCGGCUCACUGGACCAGUACUGACACUGAGAAGCGAAAGCAUGGGGAUCAAACAGGAUUAGAUACCCUGGUAGUCCAUGCCGUAAACGAUGGAUACUUGUUGUUGGAGGUAUUGACCCCUUCAGUGACGAAGCUAACGCGUUAAGUAUCCCGCCUGGGAAGUACGGUCGCAAGAUUA